CCUACGGGUGGCAGCAGUGAGGAAUAUUGGUCAAUGGACGAGAGUCUGAACCAGCCAAGUAGCGUGAAGGAUGACUGCCCUAUGGGUUGUAAACUUCUUUUAUAUGGGAAUAAAACGUUCCACGUGUGGGAUUUUGUAUGUACUAUAUGAAUAAGGAUCGGCUCACUCCGUGCCAGCAGCCGCGGUAAUACGGAGGAUCCGAGCGUUAUCCGGAUUUAUUGGGUUGAAAGGGAGCGUAGGUGGAUUGUUAAGUCAGUUGUGAAAGUUUGCGGCGCAACCGUAAAAUUGCAGUUGAAACUGGCAGUCUUGAGUACAGUAGAGGUGGGCGGAAUUCGUGGUGUAGCGGUGAAAUGCUUAGAUAUCACGAAGAACUCCGAUUGCGAAGGCAGUUCACUGGACUGCAACUGACACUGAGGCUCGAAAGUGUGGGUAUCAAACAGGAUUAGAUACCCGGGUAGUC
RNAcentral lists this ribosomal RNA (460 nucleotides) under uncultured bacterium. RNAcentral describes it as "partial 16S ribosomal RNA". It matches the Rfam family "Bacterial small subunit ribosomal RNA", at positions 338 to 795 of the family's 1533-position model. The record is from RNAcentral.